RNAcentral lists this ribosomal RNA (498 nucleotides) under uncultured bacterium. RNAcentral's name for it is "bacterial SSU rRNA". It matches the Rfam family "Bacterial small subunit ribosomal RNA", at positions 899 to 1397 of the family's 1533-position model. The record is from RNAcentral.
ACUCAAAUGAAUAGACGGGGGCCCGCACAAGCAGUGGAGUAUGUGGUUUAAUUCGACGCAACGCGAAGAACCUUACCAGGGCUUGACAUCCUCUGACGGCUAUAGAGAUAUAGCGUUCCCUUCGGGGACAGAGAGACAGGUGGUGCAUGGUUGUCGUCAGCUCGUGUCGUGAGAUGUUGGGUUAAGUCCCGCAACGAGCGCAACCCCUAUUGUCAGUUGCCAUCAGGUUAAGCUGGGCACUCUGGCGAGACUGCCGUUGACAAAACGGAGGAAGGUGGGGACGACGUCAAAUCAUCAUGCCCCUUAUGUCCUGGGCUACACACGUACUACAAUGGCAACAACAGAGGGCAGCCAGGUCGCGAGGCCGAGCGAAUCCCAAAAUGUUGUCUCAGUUCAGAUUGCAGGCUGCAACUCGCCUGCAUGAAGUCGGAAUUGCUAGUAAUGGCAGGUCAGCAUACUGCCGUGAAUACGUUCCCGGGCCUUGCACACACCGCCCGU